AAAUGUUGUUUGUUGGGUAGUUCAUUGUAAUCCUACACUAGGAUUUGCCUAAGAUAGGGCAAAUGAACGAGGGAUAGAACUCAAAGAAUGGGUUCUUUGAGAAACAAGAUAGUGAUCAACAAAUAUAACAACCUAGUUCCUAUACCACAAGCUCCAAGGUAGUCGAGAAGGAUUUAUAAACCGUCUCAAUUGAAUGGUUUGAACUUUAUGACUAUGUCAUAGAGUUACACCUCUUAAUUCGAAAGAAAUAAAGAAUGAAAAUCCUUAUGACUACAUUGAGUGUAUAUACGAUAUAUACUCAAGGAAAUGGUAAAGUACCAUUUGACCCGAAAUAAUGAAACCUCCAUAGCUAAUUGGUAGCUUAAGGUGACUACAAUCAAAGAGAAUGGUUGACUUUGAAGAAACCAUCUUUGACGUAGUCUUCGUUUCAAUUAAUUCGAAGAUUGCUAGCUACAACUAAAUGAUGAUUCAAUGUUUGGACAUAAUAUGGGUUUCCUAAACCAUUAUUAAGAUAGUCUUGAUAAUAUAUGUCUAAAACUAUGAAUCACAAGACAUGUAAGUUGUAGAGAUCCAUCCAUCAUGGAUCUUAGCAAGCUAGUGGGAGCUAUAAGCGUCUUAUGAAAGAAAGAUCAAAUCGUUUGAUUUCUCAUAAAGAUGUGAAUGAAUCUUUUGUUUACUAGGUUUACAAAAGAUUAGUGGGAAUUAAUCAUAUUCCUAAAUUUAAAUAUAUAUAUAUAUACACACAUAUAUGAUAUAUUAAUUUUGGAAAUGAAAAGAAUACUUCUUCGUUAAAGUUAUGACUUUAAACAUUCUAUAACGAUAGAAUGGAUAUAGGAGACAUAGUCUAUAUACAUGGGAUAGAAAUCUAUAAUGAUAUAUUUCAAGAUAUAAUUCGAUUAUAUCAAUCCCUAAUAUAGACAAAAGAUGAUAGGAAGUUUCUCAUAUGAUGAUGAACUUCAAUCAAAAAGGACAACUCUAGUGAGACUAAGAAGUUGCUCUUCUCAAAGAGAACGUACCCUUUGACUCCCAAAGAAAUAAUGCGUAAAUAGAAUCCUUUAUGCAUA
Molecule: long non-coding RNA, 1064 nt
Filed under: Malus domestica (apple)
Lineage: Eukaryota; Viridiplantae; Streptophyta; Magnoliopsida; Rosales; Rosaceae
Description: long non-coding RNA (MDOM_LNC007483)
Source: RNAcentral